UAGAACGCACAGGAUGCACCGUAGUUUACUACACCGUAUUCUGUGAGUUGCGAACGGGUGAGUAACGCGUAGGUAACCUGCCUGGUAGCGGGGGAUAACUAUUGGAAACGAUAGCUAAUACCGCAUAAGAACAUUUACUGCAUGGUAGAUGUUUAAAAGGUGCAAAUGCAUCACUACCAGAUGGACCUGCGUUGUAUUAGCUAGUAGGUGAGGUAACGGCUCACCUAGGCGACGAUACAUAGCCGACCUGAGAGGGUGAUCGGCCACACUGGGACUGAGACACGGCCCAGACUCCUACGGGAGGCAGCAGUAGGGAAUCUUCGGCAAUGGGGGGAACCCUGACCGAGCAACGCCGCGUGAGUGAAGAAGGUUUUCGGAUCGUAAAGCUCUGUUGUUAAGGAAGAACGAGUGUGAGAAUGGAAAGUUCAUACUGUGACGGUACUUAACCAGAAAGGGACGGCUAACUACGUGCCAGCAGCCGCGGUAAUACGUAGGUCCCGAGCGUUGUC
This 509-nucleotide ribosomal RNA is filed under the name Streptococcus intermedius. Its description in RNAcentral is "bacterial SSU rRNA". It matches the Rfam family "Bacterial small subunit ribosomal RNA", at positions 49 to 545 of the family's 1533-position model. Lineage: Bacteria; Bacillati; Bacillota; Bacilli; Lactobacillales; Streptococcaceae. The record is from RNAcentral.